This 253-nucleotide ribosomal RNA is filed under the name uncultured bacterium. RNAcentral's name for it is "partial 16S ribosomal RNA". It matches the Rfam family "Bacterial small subunit ribosomal RNA", at positions 524 to 776 of the family's 1533-position model. The record is from RNAcentral.
UACGUAGGGGGCAAGCGUUGUCCGGAUUUAUUGGGCGUAAAGAGCGUGUAGGCGGCCAGGUAGGUCGGUUGUGAAAACUGGAGGCUCAACCUUCAGACGUCGACCGAAACCAUCUGGCUAGAGUCCGGGAGAGGAGAGUGGAAUUCCUGGUGUAGCGGUGAAAUGCGCAGAUAUCAGGAAGAACACCCGUGGCGAAAGCGGCUCUCUGGAACGGUACUGACGCUGAGACGCGAAAGCGUGGGGAGCGAACAGG